GUGAGUGGCAGUGUGAUGAGUGUUUAUAGUGGAGACUUUGGCAAUCUGGAAGUUAAAGGAAAUAUUCAGUUUGCAAUUGAAUAUGUGGAGUCACUGAAGGAGUUGCAUGUUUUUGUGGCCCAGUGUAAGGACUUAGCAGCAGCGGAUGUAAAAAAACAGCGUUCAGACCAUAUGUAAAGGCCUAUUUGCUACCAGACAAAGGCAAAAUGGGCAAGAAGAAAACACUCGUAGUGAAGAAAACCUUGAAUCCUGUGUAUAACGAAAUACUGCGUAUAAAAUUGAAAAACAAAUCUUAAAGACACAGAAAUUGAACCUGUCCAUUUGGCAUCGGGAU
This 334-nucleotide long non-coding RNA is filed under the name Homo sapiens (human). Its description in RNAcentral is "non-protein coding lnc-CCDC89-4:4". Lineage: Eukaryota; Metazoa; Chordata; Mammalia; Primates; Hominidae. The record is from RNAcentral.